This 336-nucleotide unclassified non-coding RNA is filed under the name soil metagenome. RNAcentral's name for it is "partial contains 5.8S ribosomal RNA, internal transcribed spacer 2, and large subunit ribosomal RNA". The stretch from base 1 to 120 matches the Rfam family "5.8S ribosomal RNA", at positions 35 to 154 of the family's 154-position model. The record is from RNAcentral.
GAUGAAGAACGCAGCGAAAUGCGAUAAGUAAUGUGAAUUGCAGAAUUCAGUGAAUCAUCGAAUCUUUGAACGCACAUUGCGCCCGCCAGUAUUCUGGCGGACAUGCCUGUUCGAGCGUCAUUUCAACCAUCAAGCCCCCGGCUUGUGUUGGGGACCUGCGGCUGCCGCAGGCCCUGAAAACCAGUGGCGGGCUCGCUAGUCACUCCGAGCGUAGUAAUACAUCUCGCUCAGGGCGUGCUGCGGGUUCCGGCCGUUAAAAAAGCCUUAUUUACCCAAGGUUGACCUCGGAUCAGGUAGGAAGACCCGCUGAACUUAAGCAUAUCAAUAAGCGGAGGA